Octopus bimaculoides (California two-spot octopus) is the source of this 530-nucleotide long non-coding RNA. RefSeq lists it as uncharacterized. Lineage: Eukaryota; Metazoa; Mollusca; Cephalopoda; Octopoda; Octopodidae. The record is from RefSeq and is a predicted model, not a curated record.
AUCUGCAACGUUUUUUCCGGAACCUUCUAGAUACUUUCUCAGAAGCUAUGUUGUUCUUCAUGACUCUUCUUCUGCUCAUUCUUGUAAUGCCCAGCGUUUCAAAGACCUUAUUCAGGAACGACCUGCGAACCAUCAACUGCCCACCUCCUCUGAUUCCAUCCUACAGCCAGUCUUAAGACAGUCUUCCAUCAACUCCAGUGCUGCGAUCUGACAAAAUUAUUACAGGAUCGAGGAAAAUGCUUUGCAGUAUUUCUUCUGACUCUAAACUUUUCAACUCCUGCUGAGAUGGACUUUGCCUUUUAUCCUUUCGCAGUCGAUAAAAUACAGUACUAGUCAAGUACUCGAGUCAAUGAUAUCGACUAACUAGUUCCUCACCAAAUUUCUGACCUUGUACCUAAAUCAGAAACCAUUAGCUAAGUUCAAAUGCCACUGAGAUCAACUUUGCCGUUCAUCCUUUCGGAGUCGAUAAAAUAAAGUAACAAUCAAAUGUUGGGUUCGAAGGAAUCGACUGGCCCCAACUCUUCUACAAA